AGAGAGGUCGUGGAGUGUCAGCCUAUGGUAUCUGAGGUCCAGGAGAGAUGACCUGCGCUGUUUUCCUCUGAGGAGAUAUCUGAAAAAUUUAAUCAGAUCACAAGCAAAGACCUCCUGGGGACCUUCAAUGCAAACCUUGACAAAUUUGUGCCUGGCCUGCUGAAACUCUACUGGUCUAAGAAGGGAGUUCUUUGUGAGGAGAUGGAAGACCUCCUGGAUAAACUUGAUGAACAGACAUCCAACACUGUGUCCAACGGGCACUGAGAGUCCUGCCCUUUUUCCUCAAGGGAAGAUGCAACAGAGGUUUUCCUGAAGUGCUUAGACACUGACAUUUUGGAACCAGUGUUGAACGGUGCAUCAGUUGCCAUCCUCACCAUCCUACAAGAUGACGAUGCUGAUACGUCUGUGCGAGAACAUGCAGUUGUGUUGGAAGGGGACAUUGUGCUACAUAACAUUCCAGAUCUCUCUACUGCCCUGGCACACCUCUUUGGCCUUCUGUAUGCCCUCAACAUUGAUUAUCCAAAGCAGAUGAGUUUUACCUUUGAAGCAAUUCAGGCCAUCUUAUUUUGACCUGGUCGGACAAUAUGAAGGCGAAGUGGAUAAAUCAUUAUUCGAAAUGUAAAUUUUAGUCAGAUGAAUCUGUAUUGUUGAGAAUAUAUGGUGAAAAUUUGUCUUGUAGUAUUGUAAAAAACUGUGUUAGUUUCCUCUUCAUUGAUGGUAACAUUUCUAAUAACUUUUAACUUCCAUAGUUCAUCAUAGUAAGCCUGUGUAAAAUGUCAAUGUCUGGGUACAUAGGCAACCGUUUGUGGCACUACCUUAUUUAAUGUGCAAUAGUUAUGUUCAGCUUUUACAAGACGUUCAGGGUGUGUGGGGGUGAAUUAUUAAGUUGCUGGACUCUUUUCUUUUUUGGUUCUGGACUCUGGAAUUUUAACGUCUCUGCUGGGGUGCUCAAAGCACCCAAAAGAAACUGGCAACACGUUUUUGUUUGUUUGUUAUUUCUUUUCUUUCUUUCUUUCUCUUUGUUUUUUUUUAACAGAAAUUCACCCUACUACCCAUGACAUUCUGAAAUGUACUGAAAAGACUGUUGAACAAAAUAAAUAAGCUUUUAG
Oreochromis aureus is the source of this 1109-nucleotide long non-coding RNA. NCBI's taxonomy places the organism in Eukaryota, Metazoa, Chordata, Actinopteri, Cichliformes, Cichlidae. The record is from Ensembl.